This 346-nucleotide unclassified non-coding RNA is filed under the name soil metagenome. RNAcentral's name for it is "partial contains 5.8S ribosomal RNA, internal transcribed spacer 2, and large subunit ribosomal RNA". The stretch from base 1 to 120 matches the Rfam family "5.8S ribosomal RNA", at positions 35 to 154 of the family's 154-position model. The record is from RNAcentral.
GAUGAAGAACGUAGCGAAAUGCGAUAAGUAAUGUGAAUUGCAGAAUUUAGUGAAUCAUCGAAUCUUUGAACGCACAUUGCGCCCGCCAGUAUUCUGGCGGGCAUGCCUGUUCGAGCGUCAUUUCAACCCUCAAGCCCUCGGGUUUGGUGUUGGGGAUCGGCGAGCCUUUCUGGCAAGCCGGCCCCGAAAUCUAGUGGCGGUCUCGCUGCAGCCUCCAUUGCGUAGUAGUAAAACCCUCGCAACUGGAACGCGGCGCGGCCAAGCCGUUAAACCCCCAACUUCUGAAUGUUGACCUCGGAUCAGGUAGGAAUACCCGCUGAACUUAAGCAUAUCAAUAAGCGGAGGA